Dermochelys coriacea (leatherback sea turtle) is the source of this 243-nucleotide long non-coding RNA. RefSeq lists it as uncharacterized. The transcript has 3 exons. Lineage: Eukaryota; Metazoa; Chordata; Testudines; Dermochelyidae. The record is from RefSeq and is a predicted model, not a curated record.
AAGCCCCUGGGCCCAGCAUGGCCUCCUGCCCCUCUCUGCAUUCACCGUUGCAGGGUUUGUAUAGCGUUCCUCACCCUAUAUUUUGGCUUCCACUGUCGUUUGUCUUACUAUUGGCUAAACAUAGAGGGAUGGUUUUAACCGUGAGUGACACAUAUUAUUAAUGUAUUUGCUAUCUCUGGGGCACAGGCACGUGCCCAGUUUUUCCGCUGACUUAUGUUCCUAAUAAACCUGAGUCAAAGCGCA